GACGAACGCUGGCGGCGUGCCUAAUACAUGCAAGUUGAGCGAUGAAGAUUGGUGCUUGCACCAAUUUGAAGAGCAGCGAACGGGUGAGUAACGCGUGGGGAAUCUGCCUUUGAGCGGGGGACAACUUUGGGAAACGAAUGCUAAUACCGCAUAACAACUUUAAACAUAAGUUUUAAGUUUGAAAGAUGCAAUUGCAUCACUCAAAGAUGAUCCCGCGUUGUAUUAGCUAGUUGGUGAGGUAAAGGCUCACCAAGGCGAUGAUACAUAGCCGACCUGAGAGGGUGAUCGGCCACAUUGGGACUGAGACACGGCCCAAACUCCUACGGGAGGCAGCAGUAGGGAAUCUUCGGCAAUGGACGAAAGUCUGACCGAGCAACGCCGCGUGAGUGAAGAAGGUUUUCGGAUCGUAAAACUCUGUUGGUAGAGAAGAACGUUGGUGAGAGUGGAAAGCUCAUCAAGUGACGGUAACUACCCAGAAAGGGACGGCUAACUACGUG
This 497-nucleotide ribosomal RNA is filed under the name uncultured bacterium. RNAcentral's name for it is "partial 16S ribosomal RNA". It matches the Rfam family "Bacterial small subunit ribosomal RNA", at positions 28 to 507 of the family's 1533-position model. The record is from RNAcentral.